GACGAACGCUGGCUGCGUGCUUAACACAUGCAAGUCGAACGAAGUGGCGAACGGGUGAGUAACGCGUAAUCAACCUGCCCUUCAGAGGGGGACAACAGUUGGAAACGCCUGCUACUACCGCAUACUGAAGGAGGGGAUUGCGUCUGAUUCGCUAGUUGGAGGGGGAACGGCCCACCAGGGCGAUGAUCAGUAGCCGGGGUGAGAGGAUGAACGGGCAAAUUGGGACUGAGACACGGCCAAGAUGCUUACGGGAGGCAGCAGUGGGGAAUCUGCCGCAAUGGACGAAAGUCUGACGGAGCAACGCCGGGUGAGUGAUGACGGCCUUCGGGUUGUAAAGCGCUGUUAAUCGGGACGCGGUACCGGAAUAGAAAGCCACGGCUAACUACGUGCCAGCCGCCGCGGUAAUAC
RNAcentral lists this ribosomal RNA (408 nucleotides) under uncultured bacterium. RNAcentral describes it as "partial 16S ribosomal RNA". It matches the Rfam family "Bacterial small subunit ribosomal RNA", at positions 28 to 526 of the family's 1533-position model. The record is from RNAcentral.